CGUUCAAACACCGGUUCUCGUACGAUCACUGAAGUUAAACAACGUCGAGUCUGGUUAGUACCAAGAUGGGUGACCGUUUCGGAAUACCCGGUGCUGUAAG
This 100-nucleotide ribosomal RNA is filed under the name Acanthosepion pharaonis. The record is from RNAcentral. Lineage: Eukaryota; Metazoa; Mollusca; Cephalopoda; Sepiida; Sepiidae.